Molecule: long non-coding RNA, 613 nt
Organism: Haplochromis burtoni (Burton's mouthbrooder)
Lineage: Eukaryota; Metazoa; Chordata; Actinopteri; Cichliformes; Cichlidae
Exons: 3
Source: RefSeq, a predicted model, not a curated record
GAACCUUCACAGACAAUCAGGAGGCUACUUGAUCAAUAACAGAUCUGCUCUUUCAGAGGCGGAUUUACGCAGUGACUCAGAUCUCCAGUCACUGACUUUACAAGACCUGGGUUUGCUGUUCCCUGGAGUUAAAAAUGUCAAACUGAGAAGGGAUAUCUUUGAUAUAAUACACAAGCAGAAACCAAUUGGUGAGCUCAUAGAAAAAUCCAAGCACUUCAUCCCACAUGACUUCUCAGGGGUAAGUACAGCCUGCUAACAUUGUUGGCUCUUGCAUUUGAUUGAUUUGGAUAGCGGAAGAAAAUAGAUGGAUGGAUGGAUUUAGGAUGUUUUGGGGAAGUUUUAAAAUAUCAGAUGCAGAUUCUUAUACAUAACCUUAAACUUUCCAUCCAGCCGCCUUAACCGAAAAUGGAGUUUUGGUCGACUACCUGAAAAUGUUGAAGGAAAUGAAGACCCAAAUGAAUAAAGCAAUUUCCUUGAUCACAUAUCAAUCUACUGGAGGACCUCAGGAAAUCUCAACCAUCGCAGAACCAGGACAAAGGUUCUUUGUCAAGUGGUCCAGUGAAGCGCCACAAUAGCCAAACCAGUGACCCUCCACAAAUGCAACAAGGUAAAU